CGUGUAGGCGGUUUAGUAAGUCAGAUGUGAAAGCCCUGGGCUCAACCCGGGAAGUGCAUUUGAAACUGCUUUACUUGAGUAUGGGAGAGGAGAGUGGAAUUCCUGGUGUAGAGGUGAAAUUCGUAGAUAUCAGGAGGAACAUCUGUGGCGAAGGCGACUCUCUGGACCAAUACUGACGCUGAGACGCGAAAGCGUGGGGAGCAAACAGGAUUAGAUACCCUGGUAGUCC
RNAcentral lists this ribosomal RNA (229 nucleotides) under uncultured bacterium. Its description in RNAcentral is "partial 16S ribosomal RNA". It matches the Rfam family "Bacterial small subunit ribosomal RNA", at positions 568 to 796 of the family's 1533-position model. The record is from RNAcentral.